GAUGGUGCAAAGGUUCAGUGCGCCUGGCAGUUAACCAGAAGGUUGGUGGUUUGAGCCCACCCAGGGACA
This is a non-coding RNA of Podarcis lilfordi (Lilford's wall lizard), 69 nucleotides long. Lineage: Eukaryota; Metazoa; Chordata; Lepidosauria; Squamata; Lacertidae. The record is from the annotation of a GenBank genome assembly.